AGCUUUGUGCAGUGGCAGUAUCAUAGCCAAUGAGGUUUAUCCGAGGCGCAAUUAUUGCUAAUUGAAAACUUUUCCCAAAGAAG
Molecule: small nuclear RNA, 83 nt
Filed under: Balaenoptera musculus (blue whale)
Lineage: Eukaryota; Metazoa; Chordata; Mammalia; Artiodactyla; Balaenopteridae
Description: U4 spliceosomal RNA (ENSBMSG00010010927.1)
Rfam family: U4 spliceosomal RNA
About the family: U4 small nuclear RNA (U4 snRNA) is a component of the major U2-dependent spliceosome. The structure of U4 snRNA from yeast and human has been reported.
Source: RNAcentral